RNAcentral lists this ribosomal RNA (442 nucleotides) under uncultured bacterium. Its description in RNAcentral is "partial 16S ribosomal RNA". It matches the Rfam family "Bacterial small subunit ribosomal RNA", at positions 338 to 795 of the family's 1533-position model. The record is from RNAcentral.
CCUACGGGAGGCAGCAGUGAGGAAUAUUGGUCAAUGGCCGGAAGGCUGAACCAGCCAUGCCGCGUGAGGGAAGAAGGCCUUCGGGGUGUAAACUUCUUUUUUCCGGGGAGCGUAGAAGACGGUACCUGACGAAUAAGCCACGGCUAACUACGUGCCAGCAGCCGCGGUAAUACGUAGGUGGCAAGCGUUGUCCGGAUUUACUGGGUGUAAAGGGCGUGUAGCCGGGUUGACAAGUCAGAUGUGAAAUCCUGCGGCUUAACCGCAGAACUGCAUGUGAAACUGUUGAUGUUGAGUAAUGGAGAGGCAGAUGGAAUUCCUAGUGUAGCGGUGAAAGGCGGAGAUAUUAGGAGGAACACCAGUGGCGAAGGCGGUCUGCUGGACAGCAACUGACGGUGAGGCGCGAAAGCGUGGGGAGCAAACAGGAUUAGAUACCCCAGUAGUC